CGCCAACGGGCUGGCCACCCAGGCCUACAUCCUGAGCGUGGACGCCGACGAGGUUCCCUCCGCGGAACUGGCCCGUUCCAUCCGGGCGGCGGCGGCC
RNAcentral lists this transfer RNA (97 nucleotides) under Flavobacteriales bacterium. RNAcentral's name for it is "tRNA-Ala". The record is from RNAcentral. Lineage: Bacteria; Pseudomonadati; Bacteroidota; Flavobacteriia; Flavobacteriales.